Pangasianodon hypophthalmus (striped catfish) is the source of this 1473-nucleotide long non-coding RNA. RefSeq lists it as uncharacterized. Lineage: Eukaryota; Metazoa; Chordata; Actinopteri; Siluriformes; Pangasiidae. The transcript is spliced from 2 exons. The record is from RefSeq and is a predicted model, not a curated record.
UCCUCUUUUUAAAGAAUUAUAUAUGAAUCUCCAAAUUGUUCUCUCUCCAACUGGCUGCUCUUGUAAGGUGACAGCUGGCUCAGCCUUGUGCCAAUGCUAGAGGGAGGCAGAGAGACACUAGUGACAGAUUGGCUCCUGCUACCAGAGGGACCUAGAGAACACGAUCUUAAUUAUAAUCAAUGGCAAUCACCCCCAGGUGUGCCUGAGUCUAUUUAAGGAGAGCUCUCCACUCACUUAGUGCUCAGUCUUGAGUCAAUCUUGCUGUAUGCUGGUGUGUAAUACUUGGCUGGUAAUUUCAGGUAAUCUUGGUAUUUUCUCUGGAUUCUCUAGCCAACUCUUGAGCUUCCUUAGCUCUCAGUAUGUCUACAUUUAACAAGCGGUGCUGAAAGACAAAGGCCUCACCAAAGAGAUUUUGCACCAGUCGAUGUGGAAUUGAGCUCUGAACUUCUUGUCACAGCUGAUGACUGGCUCCAUCUCCUGACUGCAGCGCAGCUGGUUCUGAGGACUCUCCACCUCACGCAGGCAUGAUGAGAACGGCACGUCUGCUCCCACCAUCACAUACACGCUGCACAUAUUGAAAGAAAAAUUCUAAUUAAAAUAUAAUAUGAGGGGGAAGUUUAAAUGGUCAUUUCACAUAUGUAAUUUCUGUCUUAAAUUCCUAAUUCAAAUAUAAUGUAGACAUUUGCCAUUUGGAAUACUAGUUCUGAUAUUUCUUUUAUACAUAAAACUGCAUGCUUUAUGAGUAACUAUUUAAAUAAAAAAUUGCUUCCCAAACUGAUUUUCAUGUGAUCAGGCAUUAACGCAGUCAGUGUGAUAACCAUUGUCAUUUACCAUACACACAUUUGCUCUCUCUAACAAGAACAGUAAAAUUUCAUUAAUAAAGCCUCUUUAUGAAGACAACUAAAGUUAAAAGUAAAGAGGAAAACAGCACCUCCUCUCUUUGCCAUUAAUUUUAUAUUUACAUUUUAAGUUUAAUAACUUUGCUAGGUUCUGGGCAAAAUGGAUAUGAAAUUGACACCCUCCCUCCUUGCUUUCAGUUUUUUACUUAAGGUUUAAUGAAAAAAUUUAACCUUACAUUAUACUGCCUGUGAUGUUAUUCAGUAUGUAAAUUAAGCUUCAGUGUUUGUUUGAUCCUUUUGCUUAAUUUAAAUAUGCCAUGUGUUAGAUGUGCUAUAGAUAAUACUGUGAUUGGGAAGUGGUAGCUCAGUGGUUAAGAUGUUGGCCUGCUGAGCAGAAGGUUGUGAGUUCAAAUCCUAGCACUACCAAGCUGCCACUGCUGGGCCCUUGAGCAAGGCCCUUAACCCUCAACUGCUCAGUUGUAUAAAUGAGAUAAUUGUAAGUUGCUCUGGAUAAAGGUGUCUGCCAAAUGCUGUAAAUGUGAUUACAAUGGAUAUGCUACUGUAUAUUGUCAGUGAUUUUCACAAUAUUGUUGUACUAUUUCUUUCUUUCCUUCUAUAAUUUCUGAUCUGCUGA